AUGAACGCUGGCGGCGUGCUUAACCCAUGCAAGUCGCACGGAAAGGCUCCUGCUUGCAGGGGUACUCGAGUGGCGAACGGGUGAGUAACACGUGGGUGAUCUGCCCUGCACUUCGGGAUAAGCCUGGGAAACUGGGUCUAAUACCGGAUAGGACCACAUUUUGGAUGGUGUGGUGGAAAGUUUUUCGGUGUGGGAUGAGCUCGCGGCCUAUCAGCUUGUUGGUGGGGUAAUGGCCUACCAAGGCGUCGACGGGUAGCCGGCCUGAGAGGGUGUACGGCCACAUUGGGACUGAGAUACGGCCCAGACUCCUACGGGAGGCAGCAGUGGGGAAUAUUGCACAAUGGGCGCAAGCCUGAUGCAGCGACGCCGCGUGGGGGAUGACGGCCUUCGGGUUGUAAACUCCUUUCGCUAGGGACGAAGCGCAAGUGACGGUACCUGGAGAAGAAGCACCGGCUAACUACGUG
This 464-nucleotide ribosomal RNA is filed under the name uncultured bacterium. RNAcentral describes it as "partial 16S ribosomal RNA". It matches the Rfam family "Bacterial small subunit ribosomal RNA", at positions 29 to 507 of the family's 1533-position model. The record is from RNAcentral.